Molecule: unclassified non-coding RNA, 245 nt
Filed under: Hevea brasiliensis (rubber tree)
Lineage: Eukaryota; Viridiplantae; Streptophyta; Magnoliopsida; Malpighiales; Euphorbiaceae
Source: RNAcentral
AAAACAAAUCUUAUUAUACUUCUAUUUUGCAAUUUUCGCCGUUAAAAAGUCAGGCUUUCAGAAACUGGGAGGGCUUCUAAAGACAAAAAUAAGGUAUCCACAAAGAAUCUAAGGAGAGUUGUAAAUUUAGGAGGUUCUCAAUCCAAGAAAAAGCAAUCAUCAAAUGGAUAAUAGGUAUAAUUUAAUAAGGCAGGGCAGCGGUUUGUGGAGAUCCCUAAGAGAUGGAGACUUCGAAGAAGAGGAGG